Long non-coding RNA from Pan troglodytes (chimpanzee), 2279 nucleotides. RefSeq lists it as uncharacterized. The record is from RefSeq and is a predicted model, not a curated record. The transcript is spliced from 4 exons. NCBI's taxonomy places the organism in Eukaryota, Metazoa, Chordata, Mammalia, Primates, Hominidae.
GACGCUAGGAAACUGCCAUGGCGGGGAAGCCGCUCCGAGUCGCCCCUGAGCCUAGAUGGGUCGUGAGCAUCGUCAUUCCAGACCAGGCUGGGCAGAUUCUGCCCGGAGACUGAGAUUGUACAUCAGGCCCACAGCUGCGCGGCGCAUUAGGAGACGGCGCCAUCAAUAACGAGGCUUCUGCGGAGCGAACAGAAUACAUGACAUACAUGAUGGGGAUUCAACUGAAAAAUUUUCAGACAUCUCUAUUCUUUUAUCUUCUCGGAGGGGGGGCCCUUUUGCCUCUCUCUUGAGUCUUGGCGAACUCUGGAGAAAGUAAAAGCCAAACCUGCCUGCUCUCGCCCGUUCUCCUGAAGGCUGCACACCUGCCCCUCCCGCCCCCAGACUGGGGAGCUCCCGGGUCCAGUGAUUGCAUAGCACGGACGCCGCUGGAAACAUCUUCGAGAAUUCAUUAGGAUUGCACAACGAGAUUUUAAUCGAGGAAGAGAUCAGUUCCCUCAGGUCACUGGAAUGGAUCGUUAAAGUAGGGCAACAAGUGUUCUGCCGCAUGACACUUUUUCGAAAAUGCGAGUUGGUGAGAAAGAAUUCAGGAGAUACCUUUGUAGCGAAUGGCACCAACCGCAGUGAGGGUCUGUGGCUGUUAAACACUCCGAACAGGAUUUAUGUUUAUUGCAGUUUGCAACACGAAUUCUCCUCACCUAAAAGGAAAGAGGACAAUGGUUCAGAUGGAAUUAUAAGCAACAGCAGGAAAACUACAACACCUUAUCUAAUGAAGGGCCAAAAAGAGCCUAUUUAUCAACUUGAACUCAACACCUCCAUAUUGGCACUGGGCAGUGGGUCUCAAGUUCUAGGACAUGAAGUCAUUGUAUCACAAUCACCUGGGGAGCUUUUGACAGUGCGUAUUCCCAGGCCUCUGCCGCAGAGACUCUCGCUAAGUCUGGGGGCGGAGCCUAGGAAUGUGUAUUUUUUCAUUUAAAAGAUUUUUUUCUUAAAGACACAGGGUCUCACUACGUUGCCCAGGCUGGUUUUGAACUUCUGGGCUCAAAGCACUCCUCCCAAAAGUGCUGAGGUUGCAGGCGUGCACCACUGUGUCUGGCCAGGAAUCUGUAUUUUAAGAGCUCUCUCUCAGGGACUAUCCUGAGCUGGAUCCUUCAGUUCCAAGUUGACUUCAUGGAGGAUAACCACGCCCUUCCAUUUCAUAGUCCCCAACACUGCUGACAGAUGCAGCUGGCAGCCCGUGAUCCUGAGCCGGAAUUAACCAGAAUGGAGAUUAUGCAAACAAUGCUCUCCAUAAUCCUGAGGACAGGACAAGAGGAAGUUUUAGUUUUCACCACAAAGGUCCCAAAUGUGCUACACAGAGGGGUGAGGGAUUUCUGCUUCCGUGGCCCCUGGAGUCUCAUCUCUCUCAGAUGACUAAAGGACAGGAAUGAAGUGCUUCGUGCUGCAUCCUGCCUUCAACGACAGGAAACUGAGUUUGUUACACAAAUCUCUGGAAGAUAUGGAGCUAGGAAGAGCCGUUGCCGUCUGCAGCUACUGAACACAGUGUGAUAGCACACUUUAUCUGCCAGAGCUCAGUUCCCAACUGUACUAAGGUUUUUAAAGGCACAUUGAAGUUGCAGCCAGCAAACUUCAGUAAGCAACACAGCAACUCCUAAAAUCGCCCUAUUUGGGGAGGGGGAGGUAGCCACGCGGAGGCUAAGACUUAUUAACUUCAUUAUAUUAUUGCCAACAGUGUUUAUGUCUUUCAAUUUAUGUCUUAUUAAAUAUUCAUUAUUUUUAAACCCACCAAGUUUCAUUAACAUCUAAACUAAAUGGAUUAUGGGCUAAAUUGAUUUCUGAAGCCUUUAAAGUGCCAUCUAUAUUUCUUUGUUGAGGUUGCGCUGCAAGGAAAAGAUAAGCUAGCCAGGAUUUGUCCAAUGCCCUGAUCACUUUUCAAGGAAAAGAUGUCAUAACCUAAGAGAAGGCAAUGUUUUUGCAUAAGAUAUUCUAUAGUGAACUCGGUUUAAGAAGAUUUAGGGAAAGCUCAUUAGAGUUUCUUUUUCCCUUGUUGAAAGAUACUUUUCAUGCAAUAUGGGAAGAUGAGGAGCUGUCCUGUGAAAACUGAAGUGAAGGAAAAAAAAUUCUCUGUGGGUCUAAGGUUGGAACAAUAGAUCACUGUUUAGAUAAGGAAGCCUCAUGACUAUGAGCAGAAAGAGAAAAGUCGGAUGACCUUUAGGAUUAAAAAAAUAAGUAAAACCAUGCCACACAUCUUGCUUUAAAAUAAAUCCAGAAUUGUUCAAACG